UGACCUCGGAUCAGGUAGGAUUACCCGCUGAACUUAAGCAUAUCAAUAAGCGGAGGAAAAGAAACCAACAGGGAUUGCCCCAGUAACGGCGAGUGAAGCGGCAACAGCUCAGAUUUGGAAUCUGGCCUUCGGGCCCGAGUUGUAAUCUGGAGAGGAUGUUUCUGGCGCGGUGCCUUCCGAGUUCCCUGGAACGGGACGCCGGAGAGGGUGAGAGCCCCGUACGGUUGGACACCUAGCCUUUGUGAAGCUCCUUCGACGAGUCGAGUAGUUUGGGAAUGCUGCUCAAAAUGGGAGGUAAAUUUCUUCUAAAGCUAAAUAUUGGCCAGAGACCGAUAGCGCACAAGUAGAGUGAUCGAAAGAUGAAAAGCACUUUGAAAAGAGAGUUAAAAAGUACGUGAAAUUGUUGAAAGGGAAGCGCCCGUGGCCAGACUUGCGCUGCGCGGACCACCCAGCGUUCUCGCUGGUGCACUCCGCGCGGCGCAGGCCAGCAUCGGUUUUCCUAGGGGGAUAAAGGUCGCGGGAACGUAGCUCCUCUGGGAGUGUUAUAGCCCGUGGCGUCAUGCCCCUGGGGGGACCGAGGACCGCGCUUCGGCAAGGAUGCUGGCGUAAUGGCCACCGGCGACCCGU
Molecule: ribosomal RNA, 627 nt
Filed under: Grosmannia fruticeta
Lineage: Eukaryota; Fungi; Ascomycota; Sordariomycetes; Ophiostomatales; Ophiostomataceae
Description: eukaryotic LSU rRNA
Rfam family: Eukaryotic large subunit ribosomal RNA
Source: RNAcentral